RNAcentral lists this ribosomal RNA (468 nucleotides) under uncultured bacterium. Its description in RNAcentral is "partial 16S ribosomal RNA". It matches the Rfam family "Bacterial small subunit ribosomal RNA", at positions 28 to 507 of the family's 1533-position model. The record is from RNAcentral.
GACGAACGCUGGCGGCGUGCUUAACACAUGCAAGUCGAACGGAAAGGCCCUGCUUUUGUGGGGUGCUCGAGUGGCGAACGGGUGAGUAACACGUGUGUAACCUGCCCUUGACUUUGGGAUAACUUCAGGAAACUGGGGCUAAUACCGGAUAGGAGCUCCUGCUGCAUGGUGGGGGUUGGAAAGUUUCGGCGGUUGGGGAUGGACUCGCGGCUUAUCAGCUUGUUGGUGGGGUAGUGGCUUACCAAGGCUUUGACGGGUAGCCGGCCUGAGAGGGUGACCGGCGACAUUGGGACUGAGAGACGGCGCAGACUCCUACGGGAGGCAGCAGUGGGGAAUAUUGCACAAUGGGCGGAAGCCUGAUGCAGCAACGCCGCGUGCGGGAUGACGGCCUUCGGGUUGUAAACCGCUUUCGCCUGUGACGAAGCGUGAGUGACGGUAAUGGGUAAAGAAGCACCGGCUAACUACGUG